This 449-nucleotide ribosomal RNA is filed under the name uncultured organism. Its description in RNAcentral is "partial 16S ribosomal RNA". It matches the Rfam family "Bacterial small subunit ribosomal RNA", at positions 334 to 797 of the family's 1533-position model. The record is from RNAcentral.
CACUCCUACGGGAGGCAGCAGUGGGGAAUUUUACGCAAUGGGGGAAACCCUGACGUAGCGACACCGCGUGAGCGAAGAAGCCCUUUGGGGUGUAAAGCUCUGUCAGCUGGAACGAAAACAAUGACGGUACCAGCAGAGGAAGCAUCGGCUAACUACGUGCCAGCAGCCGCGGUAAGACGUAGGAUGCGAGCGUUGUCCGGAUUUAUUGGGCGUAAAGAGUUCGUAGGUGGUUUGUUAAGUUUGGUGUUAAAGAUCGGGGCUCAACCCUGGGACUGCACUGAAUACUGGCAGACUCGAGUGUGGUAGAGGCUAGUGGAAUUCCCAGUGUAGCGGUGAAAUGCGUAGAUAUUGGGAAGAACACCGGUGGCGUAGGCGACUAGCUGGGCCAUAACUGACGCUGAGGAACGAAAGCCAGGGGAGCGAAUGGGAUUAGAAACCCGUGUAGUCCC